Molecule: long non-coding RNA, 2538 nt
Organism: Alexandromys fortis (reed vole)
Lineage: Eukaryota; Metazoa; Chordata; Mammalia; Rodentia; Cricetidae
Exons: 3
Source: RefSeq, a predicted model, not a curated record
GUGCCAGUCAUCUGGUGGUGAGUGAAAGUCACAGUCACACCUAAGGACCUCUGCUUGCUCUGUGAUGCUUUGGAAGGGUUAAACGGCAGCCUCGUUUCUUCUUAGCGCCUCCUUUUUCUUGUACCUCCAGUCAUUGUGGCUUCUCUGUGCCCCGGGGCAGCUCCAUCCGCAGAGGCCUCUCCUCAGUUAACCAGACUAUUUGGCCAGACUUCGGCAGGAAGACACAUUGCACGGUCCGCGUCCAAAAGACUGCCUCUGAGCAGGGCGAGGUUGGCAUGGCUCGCUGAAGUGGAGUCCCAGCCUGACUUUUCCGAACACAGGCCCAAGGGAGAAGAGAGGCAGGAAAGCAACGGGAACUGUCUCCUGGACCACUGCCCAGCUGAUCCUUCACUGCCUGCCUCCCUUUGAUGCGGAGACGCUUGCAUGGUCUGGCUCUACCGUACACACCUCCAACCUCUAGUGUAGCUUGAGUCACACCAUGCAGCAGAAGGUCAAGCACAGGGUGCCCAGCAGGCCUACUGCCAGGGCUCUUCGUCGACCAGGUGCUCAUCAGUGCUUCCACGGAAUGAAUGCAUCUGGCUCGACUCAUCUCCCCCUCUUCCUCCAGUUCCUUUCUCUCAGCACCUGGAGUCUACACUGGAGUCAGACAGGGAAGGUGGCUUUUGUGUCUCUGACUCCUACUCACUGGCUGUGUCACGUCAGCUCGGGCUCCUGGAGAUGGAACGCUACUUCCACUGGGAGCUCUGACCGUGACAGCAACUCCAAAGCCUCCCUCAGCAGCAGCAGCAGCAGCAGCAGCCGAGAUGCUGAGGGCCUCCCAGGAGAAGAAGGGUCACCUUGUUUUGGACUAAGUUGACAGCAGCUAGGUAUGUGGUUAAGAAAUAAAUAAAUAAAAGUUAUUUUUUUCCAGUACUGGGUGUUAAGCUCAGGGUUGUGCAUACCUGAGAUAUGUACUCUAUUACUUGGCUGCAUCCCGUAAGUAAUCUAGUACUUAGCUGUCUUCCUAGUCUUUUUUUUUUUCUCUUGAAGCAAAGUCUAAGUUACCCAGGCUGGACUUGACCCAGUGCCCCACAUAGCUGAGGUUAGAGUCCUGAACCACCAUGGCUGAGUGAUUUGAUAGCACAUUUUUUUUUUUUUGUCUUAUGACUCGACCAGGCAUCUGAAGUCUAAUGUCAGUCACCAGGGAUCCAGUAAAAGGGAUACCUCCCUGGAUCUAGACCCUUCCAACUGGAGCAGAUCAAAGGCAAGGGGGAUUAUUUCAUCUAAAGGCGAUAGGGUGAGAUGCUGGGCAAGCCUGCCUUGACCCUUAUGAUGACCAAGUUACUUGUGACUGUUUAAGUUUAAAGGAGAUAAAUUAAGGGCCUUGGUCAUAUUAACAACUUCCCAGUGCUCAAUGGUCAUUUAACAGUGGCUCGUAGGAGCUGGCAAGAUGGUUCCAUGGGAAAGGGAGCUUGCCACCCAUCUUGAUGACCUGAGUUCAGACCCUGGAAACUCCAAGGCAGGAGAGAAUCAGUUUCCCCUAAAGUUGUGUGCUGAGGUCCACAUACAUGCUGUGGCCUAUAUGCUGACGAGGGCAUGUGCGUGUGCACACCCCUACAGACACCCAUACACAUACUAAACAAAUAGCCCCUUAGCUGGGCUAAGGAGUUGACUCUGUAGUUUGGAGUACUUUCUUCACAAGCAUGAGAAUGUGAGUAUAGGUCUUAGGCACCCACAAAAAAAGCCAGGGCUUGGCAGGGCACACAGCUAUAACUCCACCUUUGGGGAUGGGGUGGGGCAGGAGGUAGCUAGAGCUUCAGGGCUGGCUGGUCAGUCGAUUCGGCUGAAAAACCCUAAGCUUUAGGGUCAAUGAGAAACCCUGUCUCAAGGAAAUAAGAUGGAGUGAGAAGGAUGCCUGACAUACCUCUGGCUUCUACACAACAUGUGCUCUCCCGUGCAUAUACCACACACAUGCACGCACACACGCACACACAUGCAUGCACACACACACGUAUGUAUACAUACAUGCACACGCACACACACACAAGAUCUACUACUGCAGAGAGUUCUACUUUACAACAUUGAUUUUAGUCCAAUGGUUGGAAAAGAAGCAAAGGCAAAAAGUAUUCCAAGAAAGAGUAAAUGUGUAGUUAUUCUUUCUAGACUAAACUAUUCCCUCCUGGAGGGGGAAGGGCACCUCAUAAGAUUCAGAAAGCUCAGUCAGGUAGUGGUGAUGCAUGUCUAUAAAUAAUCCCAGCACUCAGGAGGCAGAGGCAGGUGAAUCUCUGUAAGCUCAAGGCCAGUCUUGUCUACAGAGUGAGUUCCAGGACGGCCAGGACUGUUACGUAGAGAAACCCUGUCUCAAAAAACCAAAAGUUAAAAAAAAAAGACCCAGAAAGCUAAAGCAACUUCAUAAGUUUUUGUGUUCAGAAAGUUAUGAGCAUAAAACAGUUUCUGGAGGCUGGGGUUGGGGUGGAGCUCCAGGGACACAGCUUUCAUGAGUUGUUGCCUGUGCUGAGGUGGCGUUUUGGUGAUGCAGCUGCCUUUGAAUACCAUGUA